This 774-nucleotide ribosomal RNA is filed under the name uncultured Streptococcus sp. RNAcentral's name for it is "bacterial SSU rRNA". It matches the Rfam family "Bacterial small subunit ribosomal RNA", at positions 28 to 776 of the family's 1533-position model. The record is from RNAcentral. Lineage: Bacteria; Bacillati; Bacillota; Bacilli; Lactobacillales; Streptococcaceae.
GACGAACGCUGGCGGCGUGCCUAAUACAUGCAAGUAGAACGCACAGGAUGCACCGUAGUUUACUACACCGUAUUCUGUGAGUUGCGAACGGGUGAGUAACGCGUAGGUAACCUGCCUGGUAGCGGGGGAUAACUAUUGGAAACGAUAGCUAAUACCGCAUAAGAACAUUUACUGCAUGGUAGAUGUUUAAAAGGUGCAAGAGCAUCACUACCAGAUGGACCUGCGUUGUAUUAGCUAGUUGGUGAGGUAACGGCUCACCAAGGCAACGAUACAUAGCCGACCUGAGAGGGUGAUCGGCCACACUGGGACUGAGACACGGCCCAGACUCCUACGGGAGGCAGCAGUAGGGAAUCUUCGGCAAUGGGGGAAACCCUGACCGAGCAACGCCGCGUGAGUGAAGAAGGUUUUCGGAUCGUAAAGCUCUGUUGUUAAGGAAGAACGUGUGUGAGAGUGGAAAGUUCACACAGUGACGGUACUUAACCAGAAAGGGACGGCUAACUACGUGCCAGCAGCCGCGGUAAUACGUAGGUCUCGAGCGUUGUCCGGAUUUAUUGGGCGUAAAGCGAGCGCAGGCGGUUAGAUAAGUCUGAAGUGAAAGGCAGUGGCUCAACCAUUGUAGGCUUUGGAAACUGUUUAACUUGAGUGCAGAAGGGGAGAGUGGAAUUCCAUGUGUAGCGGUGAAAUGCGUAGAUAUAUGGAGGAACACCGGUGGCGAAAGCGGCUCUCUGGUCUGUAACUGACGCUGAGGCUCGAAAAGCGUGGGGAGCGAACAGG